RNAcentral lists this ribosomal RNA (329 nucleotides) under uncultured eukaryote. RNAcentral's name for it is "partial 18S ribosomal RNA". It matches the Rfam family "Eukaryotic small subunit ribosomal RNA", at positions 1470 to 1796 of the family's 1831-position model. The record is from RNAcentral.
CCCUUAGAUGUUCUGGGCCGCACGCGCGCUACAAUGAUGCAUUCAACGAGUUUAUAACCUUGGUUGAAAAGCCUGGGUAAUCUUUUGAACUUUCGUCGUGAUGGGGCUAGACCCUUGCAAUUAUUGGUCUCCAACGAGGAAUUCCUAGUAAACGCAAGUCAUCAGCUUGCAUUGAUUACGUCCCUGCCCUUUGUACACACCGCCCGUCGCACCUACCGAUUGAAUGGUCCGGUGAAAUCUUCGGAUUGAGACUUUGAUUUCUUCACGGAAAACGUUGUUUUAGAAAGUUGAUUAAACCUUACCAUUUAGAGGAAGGUGAAGUCGUAACA